CUGGCAAAAUAAAAAAUAAAUAAAAAUGACUACAACAAUUCGCAGGAUAGGAUGUCAAAUAGUUCAAAAAGCAGUUCAUUUUACUACGAUAUUUACAAACUUCCUAUGUUUGACAUCCUUCACUGUACGUCUUAUGUGAGUUACGAACAUGACAGUCUAGAUUCUUUUUGUGUUUAUACGUUUUCUGGCAAUAUUCACAGUUAAAUGGACGGCCAUCUGAAUGUUUCUGUUCGUGUAGACUUAGUCGACUUCGGUUCCUGAAAGUUUUACCACAAUAUUUACACACACGGUGUUUUGUCGCGCAGUCGUAUCAUCAUCAUGGACUUCCUGUUUGUGUGCACAAAAGUUUCCUCUCGUUGAGAAUUGUUUCUUACAUUCGAUACAUAAACACAUUUUAUGACUUUCUAAUAAAUGGGUCUCAGUUGCUCGUAUAUCUGGAAACAAUUGGUUACAAAUUGUGCACGUCACACUGAGUUCGGUACCUUGAUUUUUAUGCACUGCUG
This 503-nucleotide long non-coding RNA is filed under the name Mytilus galloprovincialis (Mediterranean mussel). Lineage: Eukaryota; Metazoa; Mollusca; Bivalvia; Mytilida; Mytilidae. The record is from RNAcentral.